This 236-nucleotide long non-coding RNA is filed under the name Oryza brachyantha (malo sina). RNAcentral describes it as "long non-coding RNA (OBRA_LNC000699)". The record is from RNAcentral. Lineage: Eukaryota; Viridiplantae; Streptophyta; Magnoliopsida; Poales; Poaceae.
GCGUGGCAGCGAGGGCGGCGGGGUGGGGGUGGGGAGAUGGAGCCCAUGAGCAUCUCUGCAUCUGCGACCUCCCACUGCUGCUGCUGCUGUUGGUGCUAGUUUGAAACCAAGGUCCUCCUCCUGUAGCGACGAGGAGGGAGGCGGCUCCUGGGGUCGAAUCGUGGGGAUUCUUGCCUGCUCGGCUCGAUCCGACAAUGGACGCGGCUGCCGGAGGAGCGGCGCCGCGGCCGGCGGCC